AAAGAAAUAAGUAUGCUUCAGAGUUACCUUGAAGGCACUCACGAGGACUCAGUCUUGGACUUGGUUUUAUCAUCUCUUCCAGAAGAAGCAAAAUCCAAAGGAACCGAUACAACGCUGCAGCUAAACCAGAAGGUGCACUUAUUAUUAUUCACAGAUCACAACCGAUGUUAUAUAUAAGGCAGUUCAACUUAUUUAUUACUCACUUCUCUUUAUUAUUUUCAGUUUGAUACUUUGAAAGGAACACUUAGACACUUCAGUCUCAUUCCACCUGGUGGCGGAGGAAUCUUAGCACAUUCACUAGCACAUAUAGCA
RNAcentral lists this long non-coding RNA (312 nucleotides) under Brassica napus (rape). RNAcentral's name for it is "long non-coding RNA (BNAP_LNC014310)". Lineage: Eukaryota; Viridiplantae; Streptophyta; Magnoliopsida; Brassicales; Brassicaceae. The record is from RNAcentral.